RNAcentral lists this ribosomal RNA (497 nucleotides) under uncultured bacterium. Its description in RNAcentral is "partial 16S ribosomal RNA". It matches the Rfam family "Bacterial small subunit ribosomal RNA", at positions 28 to 507 of the family's 1533-position model. The record is from RNAcentral.
GAUGAACGCUGGCGGCGUGCCUAAUACAUGCAAGUCGAGCGAACGGACGAGAAGCUUGCUUCUCUGAUGUUAGCGGCGGACGGGUGAGUAACACGUGGAUAACCUACCUAUAAGACUGGGAUAACUUCGGGAAACCGUAGCUGAUACCGGAUAAUAUUUUGAACCGCAUGGUUCAAAAGUGAAAGACGGUCUUGCUGUCACUUAUAGAUGGAUCCGCGCUGCAUUAGCUAGUUGGUAAGGUAACGGCUUACCAAGGCAACGAUGCAUAGCCGACCUGAGAGGGUGAUCGGCCACACUGGAACUGAGACACGGUCCAGACUCCUACGGGAGGCAGCAGUAGGGAAUCUUCCGCAAUGGGCGAAAGCCUGACGGAGCAACGCCGCGUGAGUGAUGAAGGUCUUCGGAUCGUAAAACUCUGUUAUUAGGGAAGAGCAUAUGUGUAAGUAACUGUGCACAUCUUGACGGUACCUAAUCAGAAAGCCACGGCUAACUACGUG